Molecule: ribosomal RNA, 453 nt
Filed under: uncultured Parabacteroides sp.
Lineage: Bacteria; Pseudomonadati; Bacteroidota; Bacteroidia; Bacteroidales; Tannerellaceae
Description: partial 16S ribosomal RNA
Rfam family: Bacterial small subunit ribosomal RNA
Source: RNAcentral
ACGGGAGGCAGCAGUGAGGAAUAUUGGACAAUGGGGGCAACCCUGAUCCAGCCAAACCGCGUGAGGGAUGAAGGUCCUACGGAUCGUAAACCUCUUUUAUGUGGGAAUAAUUGUUGGGACGUGUCCCAACUUGAAGGUACCACUUGAAUAAGCAUCGGCUAACUCCGUGCCAGCAGCCGCGGUAAUACGGAGGAUGCAGGCGUUAUCCGGAUUUAUUGGGUUUAAAGGGUGCGCAGGCGGCUUUUUAAGUCAGUGGUUAAAUCGUGACGCUCAACGUCAUCACGCCAUUGAUACUGGAGAGCUUGAUUGCGGUCGAGGUUUGCGGAAUUCGUUGUGUAGCGGUGAAAUGCAUAGAUAUGACGAAGAACACCGAUUGCGUAGGCAGCAGACCAGGCCGUAAAUGACGCUCAUGCACGAAAGUGCGGGGAUCGAACAGGAUUAGAUACCCUGGUA